GACGAACGCUGGCGGCGUGCUUAACACAUGCAAGUCGAACGGAAAGGCCCUGCUUUUGUUGGGUGCUCGAUUGGCGAACGGGUGAGUAACACGUGAGUAACCUGCCCUUGACUUUGGGAUAACUUCAGGAAACUGGGGCUAAUACCGGAUAUGAUCUCCUGCUGCAUGGUGGGGGUUGGAAAGUUUCGGCGGUUGUGGAUGGACUCGCGGCUUAUCAGCUUGUUUGUGGGGUAGUGGCUUACCAAGGCUUUGACGGGUAGCCGGCCUGAGAGGGUUACCGGGCACAUGGGGACUGAGAGAGGGAGCAGAAGGGUACGGGAGGCAGCAGUGGAGAGUAUUGCAGAAUGAGGGGAAGUGAGAGACAGAAACGUCGCGUGCGGGAUGACGGGCUACGGGUGAUAAACAGAUGUGGAAUGUGACGAAGAGUGAGUGACGGUAAUGGGUAAAGAAGCAACGGCUAACUACGUG
This 468-nucleotide ribosomal RNA is filed under the name uncultured bacterium. RNAcentral's name for it is "partial 16S ribosomal RNA". It matches the Rfam family "Bacterial small subunit ribosomal RNA", at positions 28 to 507 of the family's 1533-position model. The record is from RNAcentral.